UACGGAGGGGGCGAGCGUUGUUCGGAAUUAUUGGGCGUAAAGGGCGCGUAGGCGGCCGGCCAAGUCGGGUGUGAAAUCCCUCGGCUCAACCGAGGAACUGCACUCGAUACUGGCUGGCUCGAGUCCGGGAGGGGAUGGUGGAAUUCCCAGUGUAGCGGUGAAAUGCGUAGAUAUUGGGAAGAACACCAGUGGCGAAGGCGGCUAACUGGUCCGGUACUGACGCUGAGGUGCGAAAGCGUGGGGAGCAAACAGG
Molecule: ribosomal RNA, 253 nt
Filed under: uncultured bacterium
Lineage: Bacteria
Description: partial 16S ribosomal RNA
Rfam family: Bacterial small subunit ribosomal RNA
Source: RNAcentral